CAGAAAAUGGAGGAAGAAUUACUACAAAAUGAAUCUUUGGUUUACAGCCAGAGGAAGACCCGACUUGUAGAUGCAGUGAAAGGACUUGGCCUUCUACAGGAAUGAAGACCAAGUGGAAGAUUUCAAUGGAAGUAAAUACAAGUGACAUGAAAAAUCUGCCGAUUUAUUCCUAACGUGAUGUCUCACCUUUGAAAAAAUUUACAUUUGGACAUCUUCAUCUUCUAUCUGCACAGUCUCCUGUGCUAUAAAUAACACAAUUCAGUUGACCUUGACAUAUGAAUAAGGAGAGCAGUGCAUCAUCUGACUCUUCCCUGGGCUUCUUUGGAAUGACUCUUUUGGAAUUGUUUUUUUCUGACCCACUCUCACAAUGUGGAGAAGGAGCAGAGGCCUCCUGUAAUCCUGCUGAGGCUGGACU
Long non-coding RNA from Pogoniulus pusillus (Red-fronted tinkerbird), 415 nucleotides. RefSeq lists it as uncharacterized. The transcript has 4 exons. The record is from RefSeq and is a predicted model, not a curated record. NCBI's taxonomy places the organism in Eukaryota, Metazoa, Chordata, Aves, Piciformes, Lybiidae.